UAAUAUAUCGGAACGUGUCCUGUAGUGGGGGAUAGCCCGGCGAAAGCCGGAUUAAUACCGCAUACGAUCUACGGAUGAAAGUGGGGGACCUAAGGGCAACUAAGGGCCUCACGCUAGAGGAGCGGCCGAUGUCGGAUUAGCUAGUUGGCGGGGUAAAGGCCCACCAAGGCGACGAUCCGUAGCUGGUCUGAGAGGAUGAUCAGCCACACUGGGACUGAGACACGGCCCAG
This 230-nucleotide ribosomal RNA is filed under the name uncultured bacterium. RNAcentral's name for it is "partial 16S ribosomal RNA". It matches the Rfam family "Bacterial small subunit ribosomal RNA", at positions 111 to 334 of the family's 1533-position model. The record is from RNAcentral.